UGGGGAAUAUUGCACAAUGGGCGCAAGCCUGAUGCAGCCAUGCCGCGUGUGUGAAGAAGGCCUUCGGGUUGUAAAGCACUUUCAGCGAGGAGGAAGGUGGUGAACUUAAUACGUUCAUCAAUUGACGUUACUCGCAGAAGAAGCACCGGCUAACUCCGUGCCAGCAGCCGCGGUAAUACGGAGGGUGCAAGCGUUAAUCGGAAUUACUGGGCGUAAAGCGCACGCAGGCGGUUUGUUAAGUCAGAUGUGAAAUCCCCGGGCUCAACCUGGGAACUGCAUUUGAAACUGGCAAGCUAGAGUCUCGUAGAGGGGGGUAGAAUUCCAGGUGUAGCGGUGAAAUGCGUAGAGAUCUGGAGGAAUACCGGUGGCGAAGGCGGCCCCCUGGACGAAGACUGACGCUCAGGUGCGAAAGCGUGGGGAGCAAACAGGA
Molecule: ribosomal RNA, 430 nt
Filed under: uncultured Pseudomonadota bacterium
Lineage: Bacteria; Pseudomonadati; Pseudomonadota
Description: bacterial SSU rRNA
Rfam family: Bacterial small subunit ribosomal RNA
Source: RNAcentral